Molecule: long non-coding RNA, 399 nt
Organism: Oncorhynchus tshawytscha (Chinook salmon)
Lineage: Eukaryota; Metazoa; Chordata; Actinopteri; Salmoniformes; Salmonidae
Source: Ensembl
GUUCACUGAGGUAACACUCACAUACAAAAGCAUUCUGGGAUAUUUAAGUUGUAUUAGAUUUAAGGACUCCUGUUGAACAGGUACGUAGGGUAUAUAGUCACCCUGUGAUGGUGUUGAUUGGGUUGGUGUGGUACUAGGUAGACUUGAGGUGUUAUAUUCAGAGGUGAUGUCUCUCUCUUGGAGUCUGGCUGAGGUGUUGAUGGUAGGAUCAGAGGUGAUGUCACAAUCUUGGAGUCUGGCUCAGGUGUUGAUGGUAGGAUCAGAGGUGAUGUCACAAUCUUGGAGUCUGGCUCAGGUGUUGAUGGUAGGAUCAGAGGUGAUGUCACAAUCUUGGAGUCUGGCUCAGGUGUUGAUGGUAGGAUCAGAGGUGAUGUCUCUCUCUUGGAGUCUGGCUGAGGU